AUUUGCUACCACAUCUUAGAUUUUAGGUUUACAGAAAGAAAAGACACAGCCCUGGCCCUCAAGAAGCUCUUAGGUUUCCGUGAAAAACAAUAACAUAAUUAUAAUAUACUGUGCUAAAUGCUGUGAGAGAAGCAAUGAUUUAUGGGACUAGUAAAUAAAGUGAGUUUUGGAGAUGACAAAAGUUAAUGCAGGGAGGCAGAAAUAGGUGUUUGCAAAGCAGUGUGUGGAAAAGGACAGAGGAGGUAGAAUGAAGGGACUGCUUUCUUUAUUUUGUGUUUAAGUUCAUAGCAUCUUAUAGAAGAUUUUUAUUUCAGUUGAAAAAUAUGUAAUUUUGUGAAUUAUAAAUUGCUUUCUUACAGGAGGGAAACAUGAUUGUUUUACUUGCUAUAAUUUGCAAGAGGCAACAAAUGGUGACAUUUUUAGUGAAGAACCAGCCAAAUGUACAUGCUGUUGACAAUUUCGAGAAGAACAGCCCACAUGCUUGCCACACAUCAUAACUUGCCAAGUAUAGUCAGCCUUCUCCUUGAAGAAAAUAUUAGAGUCUUUUCUCAGGAUAUGUUUGGACAAACAGCAGACGAUUAUGCUGUUUGUUGUGAUUUGAUAAGGGACAUGGAUGAAUCUGGAGAACAUCAUCCUCAGCAAACUGACACAAGAACAGAAAAUGAAACACCAUAUAUUCUCACUCAUAGGUGGGUGAUGAAAAAUGAGAACACAUGGACACAGAAAGGGGAGUACUGAAACACUGGGGUCUAUUGGGGGGAAAAGGGGAGGGCCAGUGGGAGGGGGAGGUGGGGAGGGAUAGCCUGGGGAGAAAUGCAAAAUGUGGGUGAAGGGGAGAAGAAAAGCAAAGCACACUGCCAUGUGUGUACCUACGCAACUGUCUUGCAUGCUCUGCUCAUGUACCCCAAAACCUAAAAUCCAAUAAAAAAUUUUAAAGAAAAAGAGUAA
Molecule: long non-coding RNA, 948 nt
Filed under: Callithrix jacchus (white-tufted-ear marmoset)
Lineage: Eukaryota; Metazoa; Chordata; Mammalia; Primates; Cebidae
Description: lncRNA (ENSCJAG00000076884.1)
Source: RNAcentral